UACGUAGGGUGCGAGCGUUGUCCGGAAUUACUGGGCGUAAAGAGCUUGUAGGUGGUUUGUCGCGUCGUUCGUGAAAUCUCACGGCUUAACUGUGAGCGUGCGGGCGAUACGGGCAGACUAGAGUACUGCAGGGGAGACUGGAAUUCCUGGUGUAGCGGUGGAAUGCGCAGAGAUCAGGAAGAACACCCAUGGCGAAGGCAGCUCUCUGGGCCUGUACUGACGCUGAGACGCGAAAGCGUGGGGAGCGAACGGG
RNAcentral lists this ribosomal RNA (253 nucleotides) under uncultured bacterium. RNAcentral describes it as "partial 16S ribosomal RNA". It matches the Rfam family "Bacterial small subunit ribosomal RNA", at positions 524 to 776 of the family's 1533-position model. The record is from RNAcentral.